GGAGAUGUGGCUCAGUGAUAGAGCGCUGGCCUUGCAAGCAUGAGGCCCUGGGUUCGAUUCCCAGCACCA
Molecule: transfer RNA, 69 nt
Filed under: Leptotrombidium deliense
Lineage: Eukaryota; Metazoa; Arthropoda; Arachnida; Trombidiformes; Trombiculidae
Description: tRNA-Ala for anticodon UGC
Rfam family: tRNA
About the family: Transfer RNA (tRNA) molecules are approximately 80 nucleotides in length. Their secondary structure includes four short double-helical elements and three loops (D, anti-codon, and T loops).
Source: Rfam by way of RNAcentral